Nicotiana tabacum (common tobacco) is the source of this 1576-nucleotide long non-coding RNA. RefSeq lists it as uncharacterized. Lineage: Eukaryota; Viridiplantae; Streptophyta; Magnoliopsida; Solanales; Solanaceae. The record is from RefSeq and is a predicted model, not a curated record.
CUUAAGAGAUAUGAAUGGAUAAGAAACGUGAAUCACAACUCAUUCCUAAAGGCAUAUGAUGAGGAUUCAACGUAAAGGUUGUAUGUUACAACCGAAAGUCAUAUGAGCAAUGCCCAAGGCCUUCAACAAUUUAAAUUAUUGUGAGAUUCUGCAAUAUUAAGGGAAUACAGUGUAAUCUUUCUCAAGAGAAUCGACUCAGGGCAUUCGACAGAUAGGACUCGGACAUCCGUCGCGGCCCAUCGGUUUGGCUCCUGACAUUUAUGGAUAAUAUGCAAUAUCAGUAAGCAGUUAUAUUUUGGUGUCCUUUUUUCUUCGAGUGCACAUGCAAUUUGUCAGAUUGAAAGAACAUUUCAAUAAGGUGUAUAGAUCUCGCAUGUAUCGCCUACACAGGGACAUAUUCACCCUAACACAAGGUAUUUCCCAUGUUUCUGCGUAUUUUCACAUCUGAAAAGUUCUCUGGGAUUAGUAUGAUGCUCUAAUGCCUCUUCCAUAUGAUUGUAAAAGGUCAAAGGAAUUCCUUGUGCAUCUUCGUUAUGAACGGUUGUAUCAAUUUCUCAUGAGCUUAAAUGAAGGUUAAAGUCAGGCUCACAGUCAAAUUCUCUUAAAAACACAUCUAUCUAAUGUGAUCAAGUAUAUGAUAUGAUUCUUCAAGACGAAAGUUAGAAAAUAGAAAAUGGUGGCCGAAGGUCAGUUUCAGAACAAUUGUGUAGAUCUCACUAACCUGUUUAUUGCUAAAGCGGGAUCCAAGUUCAAACCUAAGAGAAAUUAUAAUGCAUAGUGUGAUUAUUGUCAUAUAAGAGGAGGGCGAAUGUUACAAGCUGAUGAAAUGUAACUUUUGUAAGUUGACUGGGCAUCUGAAAAAGAAUUGCUAAAAAAUAAUAAGUUACCUGACAACAUUCAAAUCCAAGAGGAAGGCAAAUGCGGUACAAGAAAAUAAUCAACAGACAAAAGGAAAUUCUUCUGUUGUACCAGUCCUUACCCAGAAAUAGUUCAAUAUGUUUGUCUUUAUGAUGAAUAAAGUCUCCACUUCCGAGCCCAGGCAUAUAUGGUAGGUAAUACUACAUGCAUUAAGGAUGAUAAUCUUAGUUGGAUAGUGGAUAUUAGGACUACUAAUGAUAUGAUAAGUAAUCUCAAUUUCUUGAUUAAUGAUGUUAAAGUAGGAACCACAGUGAGUGUUCAGUUGCCAAUAGGGGAUUCUACGCAUGUGACAGAUGUUGGAGACUGUAUAUUAAUAGGAGGUAAUGUGAUCAAUGAUGUGUUAUGUGUGUCAGCUUCAGAUUCAACCUUUUGUCUGUAUCUAAAAUGACAAAAUCUAUGAAUUGUUAUGCUAUUUUUUUUUCGACUUCUUUAUUUUUCAAGACCUUUGCACUGGGAAAGUGAAGCUGACUGGUAAAGAAAAGGAAGGUCUAUAUGUUUUGGAAUCAAAGAGCAUAAGGGGAGCAGUUAAGCAUCGUAGAUCAAUGGAUGUGGAAAGGAUGAUCGAGCAAAAAAUUGGCAUAAAAAAUUAGCAGAUAUUCCUAUGGCGAUAUUGAGAAAACUUUCUAUUUUUUCUAAUAAGAGUGGUUUUUUCUUUGUA